This 203-nucleotide long non-coding RNA is filed under the name Vigna radiata. RNAcentral's name for it is "long non-coding RNA (VRAD_LNC006764)". Lineage: Eukaryota; Viridiplantae; Streptophyta; Magnoliopsida; Fabales; Fabaceae. The record is from RNAcentral.
CCGCCAUGCUUUCAAUCAACUCACAGGCCUCCUCAAUAGUCUUUCUCUUGAUAUUACCUCCAGUUGAAGCAUCUAGCAUAAGCUUUGACUAUGUACCAAGACCUCCAAGGAACGUGAGAACUAAAGUUUUCUCAUCAAAACCGUGCACAGGCGUCUUUCUCAAUAAGCUUUUAAAUCUAUCCCACACCUGACCUAGGGUUUCC